Molecule: transfer RNA, 69 nt
Filed under: Ictidomys tridecemlineatus (thirteen-lined ground squirrel)
Lineage: Eukaryota; Metazoa; Chordata; Mammalia; Rodentia; Sciuridae
Description: Spermophilus tridecemlineatus (thirteen-lined ground squirrel) tRNA
Rfam family: tRNA
About the family: Transfer RNA (tRNA) molecules are approximately 80 nucleotides in length. Their secondary structure includes four short double-helical elements and three loops (D, anti-codon, and T loops). Further hydrogen bonds mediate the characteristic L-shaped molecular structure. tRNAs have two regions of fundamental functional importance: the anti-codon, which is responsible for specific mRNA codon recognition, and the 3' end, to which the tRNAs corresponding amino acid is attached (by aminoacyl-tRNA synthetases). tRNAs cope with the degeneracy of the genetic code in two manners: having more than one tRNA (with a specific anti-codon) for a particular amino acid; and 'wobble' base-pairing, i.e. permitting non-standard base-pairing at the 3rd anti-codon position.
Source: Rfam by way of RNAcentral
GGGGUUGUGGCUCAGUGGGAGAGUGCUUUCCUCAAACGUGUGAGGCUCUGGGUUCAAUCCCCAGCACCA